GUGGACUUGACUCCUGGGAAAAUCCGCUGCAGUAAGAAUAAGACGUUGUUGAGCAGAGCCGAGGACCGCCUGUCCACUCGGGACGGAGAGAGGGGGCUGUACCGGUACCUGAGCUCCGUUCAGGGCCUGGGGGGGUUCCAGGACCACUUCGACUGGUGGCUGGCUAAUGGACUCUCUCUCCGUGGAGGGAAACCUUUGUGGGUCGACCCAUUUGACCAGGACGUCCAGCACAUCUUCAUCGACGACAACAUCCGACAAAAUGACGAGGACACCAUCGUUCAUCCGAAGGUGUUUGUGGCUCCGGGCGGCUCGGACACUCGGACAGCUUCCACCGUCGAGCUGUACGACAUCAGCCUGGUUCAGACCGACCUCCUGCAGGCCAUCUCUGACCCAAACUGCUUCACCCAG
Salarias fasciatus (jewelled blenny) is the source of this 408-nucleotide long non-coding RNA. RefSeq lists it as uncharacterized. The record is from RefSeq and is a predicted model, not a curated record. The transcript is spliced from 3 exons. NCBI's taxonomy places the organism in Eukaryota, Metazoa, Chordata, Actinopteri, Blenniiformes, Blenniidae.